This 926-nucleotide ribosomal RNA is filed under the name uncultured bacterium. RNAcentral describes it as "bacterial SSU rRNA". It matches the Rfam family "Bacterial small subunit ribosomal RNA", at positions 70 to 990 of the family's 1533-position model. The record is from RNAcentral.
GAUGGAGUGCUUGCACUCCAGGCGUCGAGCGGCGGACGGGUGAGUAAUACUUGGGAAUCUGCCUGAGGGCGGGGGACAACCACUGGAAACGGUGGCUAAUACCGCAUAAUGUCUACGGACCAAAGUGUGGGACCUACGGGCCACACGCCUUCAGAUGAGCCCAAGCGAGAUUAGGUAGUUGGUGGGGUAAAGGCCUACCAAGCCGACGAUCUCUAGCUGGUUUGAGAGGAUGAUCAGCCACACUGGGACUGAGACACGGCCCAGACUCCUACGGGAGGCAGCAGUGGGGAAUAUUGGACAAUGGGGGCAACCCUGAUCCAGCCAUGCCGCGUGUGUGAAGAAGGCCUUCGGGUUGUAAAGCACUUUCAGUGGUGAGGAAAGCGUUGUCGUUAAUAGCGGCGACGAUUGACGUUAGCCACAGAAGAAGCACCGGCUAACUCCGUGCCAGCAGCCGCGGUAAUACGGAGGGUGCGAGCGUUAAUCGGAAUUACUGGACGUAAAGCGCACGUAGGCGGUUUGCUAAGCAAGAUGUGAAAGCCCAGAGCUCAACUCUGGAAUAGCAUUUUGAACUGGCAGGCUAGAGUUUUGGAGAGGGUGGUAGAAUUUCCAGUGUAGCGGUGAAAUGCGUAGAUAUUGGAAGGAAUACCAGUGGCGAAGGCGGCCACCUGGCCAAAAACUGACGCUGAGGAGCGAAAGCGUGGGGAGCGAACAGGAUUAGAUACCCUGGUAGUCCACGCUGUAAACGAUGUCGACUAGUUGUUCGCCCCGUUGGGGGUGAGUAACGCAGCUAACGCACUAAGUCGACCGCCUGGGGAGUACGGGCGCAAGGUUAAAACUCAAAUGAAUUGACGGGGGCCCGCACAAGCGGUGGAGCAUGUGGUUUAAUUCGAUGCAACGUGAAGAACCUUACCAUCCCUUGACAUCCA